GUACUUACCUGGAUGUGGUCAAUGGUUGAUCAUAAAGGACCAUGGCCUAGGAGAGUGACCUUCAUUGCACUUAGGACGGGUUCUAUCCUAAGGUCUACCCAAGUGGUGGAGCCUACAGCAUAAUUUGUUGUUGUGGGGGCCUGCGUUCGUGCGGCCACCUC
This is a small nuclear RNA of Lathyrus oleraceus (garden pea), 161 nucleotides long. RefSeq annotates it as U1 spliceosomal RNA. The record is from RefSeq and is a predicted model, not a curated record. Lineage: Eukaryota; Viridiplantae; Streptophyta; Magnoliopsida; Fabales; Fabaceae. The transcript has a single exon.